CCCGUACUCGCUUCGUGAUCCUCCCUGGAUUGCGGCCCCUCUGAAACCUGAGGCAUCCGUGAUCCCGCGGCUCUGCCCUCGCCCGCAGACUUUGCCCCGGUGUCCACCGUGUAAUUCUGAAUGGAUGUAGGUGUGGCCCUCCCCUCUCUUCCCUCCAGUCUCCUGCCCCAACUGCCCACCCCCAAAGAGGCCAAACUUUUUUUUUUUCUUAAAACAUGUUUACUCCAUUUAACCCAGAAACUUCACAAUCAAGAGGUUGCCCUGUCCAAAUCCAGUGGCCCCUUGCCACGUGGAACACUUGAAAUGGAGCUAUCGAGCACUUGAAAUGCAGCUAGUCCAAGAUGAAAUGUGCUCUCGGUGUCAAAUCUGCACUGGCUAUUGAAGACUAAAUCCAGAGGAUAUAAAACAUCUCAAAUUUUAUAUUGAUGACAUAUUGAAAUGAUAAUACUUUGAAUAAAUAAGUGUGUUAGUUGUUCA
Long non-coding RNA from Dama dama (fallow deer), 477 nucleotides. RefSeq lists it as uncharacterized. The record is from RefSeq and is a predicted model, not a curated record. NCBI's taxonomy places the organism in Eukaryota, Metazoa, Chordata, Mammalia, Artiodactyla, Cervidae. The transcript is spliced from 2 exons.